UACAGAGGUGGCAAGCGUUGUUCGGAAUUACUGGGCGUAAAGGGCUCGUAGGCGGCCAACUAAGUCAGACGUGAAAUCCCUCGGCUUAACCGGGGAACUGCGUCUGAUACUGGAUGGCUCGAGAUUGGGAGAGGGAUGCGGAAUUCCAGGUGUAGCGGUGAAAUGCGUAGAUAUCUGGAGGAACACCGGUGGCGAAGGCGGCAUCCUGGACCAACACUGACGCUGAGGAGCGAAAGCCAGGGGAGCAAACGGG
Molecule: ribosomal RNA, 253 nt
Filed under: uncultured bacterium
Lineage: Bacteria
Description: partial 16S ribosomal RNA
Rfam family: Bacterial small subunit ribosomal RNA
Source: RNAcentral